AUGGCGACCAUGGUGGCUUUGAGUUCCUUCGCCGUCGUCGGCCGGUCCGCCGCCCGCUCUCCAGUGGCGGGCCCGCGCCGGAGGACCCUCGUCGUCAGGGCCCAGUCUGAGCCUGGCAUGGACUCAACCAAGGAGACGACGAGCGCAUCGACCUCCUCCUCCCCGAGCACGAGCCCGACCCCGAUCCCGGCGGCACCCAAGCCCAUGACCAAGAAGGCGAACCCCUCGGUCUGGGACACGCUCGCCUUCAGCGGCCCGGCGCCGGAGCGCAUCAACGGCCGGCUGGCCAUGGUGGGCUUCGUGGCGGCACUCUCCGUCGAGGCGGCACGCGGCGGCGGGCUCCUCGACCAGGCCGGCAGCGGCGCCGGGCUGGGCUGGUUCCUGGUGACCGCGGGGGUGUUCUCCGCGGCAUCGUUGGUGCCGCUACUGCAGGGCCAGACUGUCGAGAGCAAGUCGAGCGGAAUCUGGAGCGCCGACGCAGAGCUCUGGAACGGCCGCUUCGCUAUGCUCGGCCUCGUCGCGCUCGCCGCCACCGAGUUCAUUACCGGCGCUCCCUUCGUCAACAUCUAA
This 570-nucleotide ribosomal RNA is filed under the name Triticum aestivum (bread wheat). RNAcentral's name for it is "partial small subunit ribosomal RNA". Lineage: Eukaryota; Viridiplantae; Streptophyta; Magnoliopsida; Poales; Poaceae. The record is from RNAcentral.